UUAUUUUUUUGCUAUUUUUUCUACUUUGUAAUUUUUUAAUAACUUUUUCCCUUCACAAUUUUCCUUCUUUUUGCUUUUUUUUUUUUCAUAUGCUUUCAUUUUUACUUGUUUUUAUUUUUUCGUUGUUUUAAAAAUUUUUAUUUUUCUGUUUUUUAUUCCAAAUCUUUUGUCUUUUCUUGCUUUUCUUUUUUUUUUUCACAAAUUUCCUUUCAUUUCUUAUUUGCGUUUUUAAAUUCUCAUACCUUUUUUUAUUUUGCAUUCACUUUUCUCUUUUUUAAUUUUUUGUCUUACUUUUUAUAUUGUUAGGUCUUAUAUGUUUUUCAAUUUUUUGUAUUUUUUAAACUAAUUUUUUAUUCAAUUUUUGUCCUUUUUUAUUUUCUUACUUUUUUCUUUUUUUGUGCUUUAUUUAUCUUUUUUCUUUUUUUAUUUUCUUUCUUUAUUUAUAGUUUCAUAAAUUUUUAUAAAGUUUUGGAAUUUUUUUUCUAUCUUUUUUUCUUUUAUCAUUCUUGGUUAUUUUCUAUUGCAUUUUUAUAAUUUUUCAUUAACUUUUUCUCUUUUCAAAUUUUUCUUCUUUUUUUUAUGUGCUUUCAUUUUUUUUGUUCACUUUUUUCUUUGUUUUAAAAUUUUCUAUAAAUUUUUUUCUUUUUGUUUUCUUUCAUAUUUUUGCCUCUUCAUUUUUUAUUUUUUUUUCUCAAAUUUUAUUUUAUAUAUUUUGUAUUUUUGUUUUUUAUUUUUUUCUUGCUUUUUCUUAAAUCUUUUUGUUCACACUUUUUUUUAUUUCUUCUUUAUAAUUUUAUAUUUUUUAUUAACUUUUAUUUUAUUUUUCAUCUUUCAUAUUUUAUAUCUUUUUCCUCUAUUUGUUAUUUUUUUUCUUUGUACAUUCUAAACUAAAAGUUUUUUCCAUUUUAUAUUUGAAAUUUUUAUUCAUUUUGUCUUUUUAUAUUUUUUUGAUUCGCUAAUUUUUUAUUUUCUUACUUUGUUACUUUUUGUUUUUGUUUAUUUUUAUUUUUUCCUUUUUUGGUAUUUUAUUUAAUUUUUUCUCUUAAUUUAUUUUUCAUUUAUUUUAAAAAAUUUUUAUAAAGUUCAAAAUUUUUUAUUUUUAUUUUCUUAUUUUUUUUGCUAUUUUUUCUACUUUGUAAUUUUUUAAUAACUUUUUCCCUUCACAAUUUUCCUUCUUUUUGCUUUUUUUUUUCAUAUGCUUUCAUUUUUACUUGUUUUUAUUUUUUCGUUGUUUUAAAAAUUUUUAUUUUUCUAUUUUUUAUUCCAAAUCUUUUGUCUUUUCUUGCUUUUCUUUUUUUUUUUCACAAAUUUCCUUUCAUUUCUUAUUUGCAUUUUUAAAUUCUCAUACUUUUUUUAUUUUGCAUUCACUUUUCUCUUUUUUAAUUUUUUGUCUGACUUUUUAUAUUGUUAGGUCUUAUAUGUUUUUCAAUUUUUUUGUAUUUUUUAAACUAAUUUUUUUUUCAUUUUGUCAUUCCAUUUCAUUUUUGAAUUUUUUAUUCAAUUUUUGUCCUUUUUUAAUUUCUUACUUUUUUCUUUUUUUGUGCUUUUUUUAUUUUCUUUCUUUAUUUAUAGUUUCAUAAUUUUUUUAUAAAGUUUUGGAAUUUUUUAUUUUUCUAUCUUUUUUUCUUUUAUCAUUCUUGGUUAUUUUCUAUUGCAUUUUUAUAAUUUUUCAUUAACUUUUUCUCCUUUCAAAUUUUUCUUCUUUUUUUUAUGUCCUUUCAUUUUUUUUUGUUGACUUUUUUCUUUGUUUUAAAAUUUUCUAUAAAUUUUUUUCUUUUUGUUUUCUUUCAUAUUUUUGCCUCUUCAUUUUUUAUUUUUUUUUCUCAAAUUUUAUUUUAUAUAUUUUGUAUUUUCGUUUUUAUUUUUUUUGGCUUUUUCUUAAAUCUUUUUGUUCACACUUUUUUU
Molecule: long non-coding RNA, 1905 nt
Filed under: Durio zibethinus
Lineage: Eukaryota; Viridiplantae; Streptophyta; Magnoliopsida; Malvales; Malvaceae
Description: long non-coding RNA (DZIB_LNC001295)
Source: RNAcentral